Arabidopsis thaliana (thale cress) is the source of this 91-nucleotide small nucleolar RNA. It matches the Rfam family "Small nucleolar RNA Z266". Rfam says of the family: Z266 is a member of the C/D class of snoRNA which contain the C (UGAUGA) and D (CUGA) box motifs. Most of the members of the box C/D family function in directing site-specific 2'-O-methylation of substrate RNAs. NCBI's taxonomy places the organism in Eukaryota, Viridiplantae, Streptophyta, Magnoliopsida, Brassicales, Brassicaceae. The record is from Rfam.
AUGGUAAAUGGAUGAUGAUUCAAUUAGAUGUGCGAAUGGUUUCAUCAUGACCUCAAAAACUCUAUUUGGCAAUUUAUCUGACAUCUCCCAU